This 576-nucleotide ribosomal RNA is filed under the name Triticum aestivum (bread wheat). RNAcentral describes it as "partial small subunit ribosomal RNA". Lineage: Eukaryota; Viridiplantae; Streptophyta; Magnoliopsida; Poales; Poaceae. The record is from RNAcentral.
AUGAGAAAUCCUGCUGAUGCUCCUAAACCUUAUCAAUGGAUAUGGAAGUCAUGUUCCCUUCCCAAACAGAAAUUCUUCUUCUGGCUUCUGUUACAAGACAGAUUAAAUACUAGAGACUUACUUAACAGGAAGAAUUUCUAUAUUGAGACAAGUAAGUGUGUGUUAUGUGAUGAUGAACCUAAUGAACAUCUAAUGCACCUCCUUUUUAGCUGCGAUUUCAGCCAAAACUUCUGGAUGAACAUUGGCUACCAAUGGGACACUGAUUAUAACCUCAUAGAAAUGCUCCUGGAGGGUAGGAAGCAGAAUACCUCUGGUUGUUUUAAAGAUUGUCUGAUUGCUGGAUGCUGGAGUUUAUGGAAGCACAGAAAUAGCAUCAUCUUUGAUCACAAGGUCAAGAAUAUGGCAUAUUGUCUAGCCAUAUUCAAGGAACACUUCAGCAUGAUCAUAAAGAAAGCAAAACCUGGAUUGAAGGAGGGCAUGCAAAGUUGGCUAAAUUAUUUGUGGACACUUUGUUUUAUUUUCCCUCUUUUCCUCCACCAUGUACAUUCAUCUGUAAUUGUUCCAUAUUAUAAAUGA